UUUUAAUAUAUGUGAACAUCUAAUUAUAGCUAAAGAUAAUUUGUGCUACAAUUAUCCUGCCUUCCUGCUAGGUCCUAGGCAGACGAACAAUCCCAGGAAAAAUCUGAACCCUGGGUCUUCUGUACUUCACUACACCCAGACUGAUCUUCUGCCCUGCUCCUGGAAAUCCAAGGGCAAAAAAGGGUGUCCUGCUGCUCUCCAUACAUGAGAGAAGCCCUUGUUUAUAAGGAGCUGAUUAGUCAUUUGACAAAUUUCCAGGCAGAAUGAAAAGUAUGAAAUAAGGAAUGUCAACAAAUUUCACAAGGCUUCAUGUUUGCAUCACUGAUGAAACAGAAAAAGAAAAGCAUAGCAUGAUAAGGACUAAAAGUGAGCAGAAGAGGGUGUGACUGUGAAGGAGG
This 398-nucleotide long non-coding RNA is filed under the name Apteryx owenii (little spotted kiwi). Its description in RNAcentral is "lncRNA (ENSAOWG00000001606.1)". Lineage: Eukaryota; Metazoa; Chordata; Aves; Apterygiformes; Apterygidae. The record is from RNAcentral.